Molecule: ribosomal RNA, 254 nt
Filed under: uncultured bacterium
Lineage: Bacteria
Description: partial 16S ribosomal RNA
Rfam family: Bacterial small subunit ribosomal RNA
Source: RNAcentral
UACGAGGGGUGCAAGCGUUGCUCGGAAUUAUUGGGCGUAAAGGGUAGGUAGGUGGUCUCAUUUGUCGGGGGUGAAAGCCUUGUGCUUAACACAAGAAGUGCCCCCGAAACGGUGAGACUCGAGUCUUGGAGAGGGUUGCGGAAUUCCCGGUGUAGCGGUGAAAUGCGUAGAUAUCGAGAGGAACACCUGCGGCGAAGGCGGGUUGCUGGGCUGAUACUGACGCUGAGGCGCGAAAGCCAGGGGAGCGAACGGGG